Molecule: long non-coding RNA, 710 nt
Organism: Oncorhynchus tshawytscha (Chinook salmon)
Lineage: Eukaryota; Metazoa; Chordata; Actinopteri; Salmoniformes; Salmonidae
Source: Ensembl
GCAGAAUGGAGUACCGUGAUUAAUGGACAGUCCAGCAUGCAUCAGCUAUGUAGCCAAGUGAUCAGUGUCGAGGGGGAAGCUAUACUGGCGAGUAUUAUCCAGGUUAAAAAAACUGGCUGGCUGUGCAGAAGGUUCUAGGAUUACAGGCCACACCAACACAGACACCAGAGAGUCAGAGUCCUACAGUUUCACCCUCCUGAACAGACCUCAGGCCUCUGUGCUGGGUUGGUGGGCUGUACCCUCAGAAGGCACAGGCUGUGCCGAUCCAUCCGUGUGCUUAGUGACAUAUGGCCACCUCACUGGCAAGAAGCCGCUGUGAUAAAGAUGAACACCUACGGUGAUGUUGGCAGGUCACCACUCAUGUGCGUCAUCCAUAUUAGCUUCAGAUUGCUGGAGUGAGUACUGAUGUCCCCACCCCACUGUCAUCCACCCCCUGAGGCAACCCUGAUCCACCCUCUCCACUGUCAUCCACCUCUUCCUUCAUUUAGCACUCAGCUGCCACCAACACCUCAUGAUCCACCUCCCAAUCUCAAUAACAAUGGUCUUGAACUACCCUGACGGAAGGAGCUCAGCAGGCCUAAUCAAUUCAUUGCGGAUGCUUCAAAUAGGCUAGAUUUAGAUUACCUGGUGCAACUGAUGGAAUAGUCACAAAAGUGCAAAUCCCAUCCAUCUGGCACUCUAGGUCUUUGUGUAGAUCUAUCCAGUCCUAU